RNAcentral lists this long non-coding RNA (446 nucleotides) under Sorghum bicolor (sorghum). RNAcentral describes it as "long non-coding RNA (SBIC_LNC016622)". The record is from RNAcentral. Lineage: Eukaryota; Viridiplantae; Streptophyta; Magnoliopsida; Poales; Poaceae.
GACACUCGGCAAAUAUUUUUUAUUUUUUUUGUUUCUAGCCUCCAAACUUUUUCUCCAAACAUCAUUAGGUAACCUUAACUUUAUGUGAAAGUUUUAUAUCAUUCUCAAUCUAUUUGCUAUAUUUAGUUAAUUUAGCUCAUUUAAUUGAAUUUUUGGGGAUAACUCAAAUUUUAACUGUAGGUGGUUCAAGUAAUUGUAAAAAAUGAAUGGAAAAAUGAUAUUCAUGUUUUUUCAAAUCGAAUAAAGUUCAAAUAUAGGAAGUUACAUCAAAUUUCAAAUAUCUUGCUCAUGAAGCAUGAGAACAAUGUUGUGGCCUAGUCGUUUUUAAAUUCUAUAAAAACCAAACAAACUCUGAAAAUCACGAGAUUUCUCAAAAUGUCAUGAUAUCAUAUGUGGAGGUUGUGAUAAAAAAUUGAGAAGAUUUCACGAAAGCUGUCAUGUACGUU